GCAGCGCUAAAAAGGAAAAAAGAAAGAAAGAAAGAAAAAAGGCAUAUCUGAAAGCAAACUCCUUUCUUCCUCUCUAAAUUCCUUGCACAAUGACUUUUCUGAGUUCAGGAGAUUUUAGAAGCUAUGCUCUAGUCUGAUUCUCCCACUCUUUGGGAUAGACUUAUCUAAUUAGGCAUCAAGAAUAAUCUAGAUUUUUCUCUUCACCCUCGUCCCCAUUUUCCAAAAAAUACGUCACAUUCAAUUCUUAGCUGGAUUGUGUGGUGACUUUCCCUGUACCUCCUGUAAAAAUGAAUUUUUAAAGUAGAAACCAAAGGAAACACUCUGUAAUAUUUUCAUCAUGUGUCAUUUAAGACUCUCCUACAAUAAAAGCACAUAAGCAUUUUUAUUAAUGAACUGAAUUUUGUGAUUUGGACAGAAAAUGUGUUUGCUCUGAGAUGGCCUCAAUAUUUCCAAGUCGCAUCUUAGAUGAUGUGUAUGUGCAGUGAAGUAUGAGGAUGGACUGAGAUUUAUGAAUUUAUAAUAGGUGCCACACUGGUAAGAGCUAAAGGCAGAAAGUUGUGUAUGACUAAAGAAAACCAGAGAAACAGCUUUCAAGAAAUCAUGGGACCAACUAGCCUGCACUUGACCUGACCAAAUGCAAACUGAGAAAAGGAAGCAGCUUCUAAAUUUGAAAUCAAACCAGGGCAGAGAAGCUACAAAUUAGGAAUCAGAGAGUGAAGAUGGAUGAAGCCUGGGACCUGUAAGGAGAAGGAAAGCUCCAUACCUGGUAUACUGGCCCUAAUGGCAGGGAAAGUUUUGGCUGCACAGGUUAAAAGAAUCAAAACUGUUUAUAUGUUUCCUCUGAGACAUCAUGGCUCUUAAAAAAUUCUUGGCAAUGUUUCAAUUAUACUACAGAAAUCUGUUCAAUGUGGGCUCUCAGAUUUCAGCCAGGGAUUUGCUGUCAAAUGUUUUGGUUCUGAUUCACGGCAAAUUUUCACAUCAUUUAUAGGAAAGUUUCUGAUUAACUCAGAGAACAUACAUAUACAGGACGUUGAAAAAGCAUGUUUUCAAAUCUUAAAAGGAAAAAGAAUCAUUUUAAAUCUCCUCUGUAUUUAUAUAUUAAAAAUCCACCCAUGUACUCUUUCAUACCUAAAGAGGUCCUUGGUUCCUCUUAUGUGGAAUGCAAUUUACAUGUAAUGAUUUGUUUCACUUGUUAAAAAAAAAAUAUGCAGCUGCACUGCAUAAAAUCUUGCAGAUACUUUAUGAUGAUUUUCAGAAAUUGGGUUCCUUAAUACUCCAUUUGCUUUGCCUAGAAGAAUGCUCCAAAUGGACUGUUGCAACAUCUCAGCUUUCUUUUGUUAUUCUUCUUGGUAGAUUCAAUGGACAGGCUAUACUUGUAAUCAAACUUGUGCCUCCUGAAGUUGUCAGUUUUGGUCUGAAACAGCAUGACUGAAGGUUCGUUUGUCUUGUCAGAGUCCAAAAGGGCACCUGAGUUUUAUCCCUGGCUCCCUCCCUUUCUUUGCUUUUCAGAAUAACCUGCAGUGUCACUUGGAUUUUGGCCUUCACUCCUGGGCGUGUGCAUACUGGCGGGAGAGGCUUCUUCUGUUUGCCUUCCUACUGGAAGGAGUUGAGGCUGGAAGGAGUGGGAAAAUGAAAUUUGAAGGUAUUAAUUUUUAAACUCCCGAAUCAGCUGCUGUACCUGUCACUUUAGGCUGCUGAAUUUCAUUAGUGUUGACAGAGAUGAACGACAUGUCCUAAUUGAGGGCUGGCACCUACAGGUUGACAGCACUGGCUUCUUUAUCAGCAGGAGCAUAAGAGCCUCAUUUCCCAUGUUUGAUGUUCUGAGAAGCAGUCACCAUCUCCAGGGAAUGAGUAGCAGGUAGAGGGCAAUGGACCUGCAAGCCAGCAUCCAAGGAAAAUCUCUUCUUCUUUCUCUCUCCCUUUCUCCUUUUCAGCUACUAUGGUUGCAUCUUUGUAAGCCUUCAAUAAUAGAAGUGGAAGAAAAGAGGGUGAAUGAGGAUAGGAAGAAGCGACAUAGAGAAAAGGGAAACGUAUGACAGGAGAGAAGAAAUGAGAGUACAAAUAUUUGAGCUCAUUUAAACGAAAUCUCAUGAUUUUUAUACUGUGUCUUCAGGUCAUUUUUCUUUUCAGUUUAAUCAGUUAUUUAAAAGCAAUAGCUUUGAAUCGACAUUCUGUCCAUAUGUGCAGUUGCAUGAAUACAAAAUUUACUUAUACUAAUAAAUCUGGUAUGACUUUAUUUAACUAAAACUAUACUCAGAUGUGAUCAAAAGGGUUCAAUUGAUUGUAUUUCUCUCUACCAUUCCUUUUCUGUGCAAAUGAAUACAUGCUUAGCAUUGUCAUAUACAAUACACACUUACACAGCUAGCCAUAUAUGGUAUGCACUAGACAGUCAAUAACUGCUCAUUUAGUAAGGUUUGGUAAGGGAGCAAUUCAUGAAUGAAACUUUGUUUCAUUAGUUUAAUAUAUAUGUAUGUGUAUGUUAUAUAUCUCAGCAUGUUUUACUUACAACCUUAAAAUAUUUUAAAACACAGAAUUAUUUAAUAUAUUUUUUAAUGUAUGCACUAUUUGGCUUUGUCCACAGGCUAUUCUGUAAUGGUUCUGCAGGUCAGUAGCAAUUAAGAAUAUUUGACUCAGAUCAGAAUUUCAGACAUAUUUUUGCCACUUAUUGUGUGUAUAAUCUUGGUAAAAUCACUUAAACUACAAAUUAGUAAGAAAACAAAAGGAUACUUCUAUACAAAAACAAGGAGAUAUUUUCAAUAGGUACUUCCCCCCAAAGGCCUAUAACCAUCAGAGAAAGUCAUGGUUGCAUCAUAAUGAAAUACCACUACACAGUCAGAAGAAUGGUAGACAUUAGAAAGCUUGACAAUACUUUAAUAGUAACUCAUCAAUUUCUGAUGUAAUUAUAAAAUGGUGAAACCACUUUCUACUAUCUAAUGAAGAUAUGUAUAGGUAUAUCCUUAUAAUCCAACAAUUCCAUUUCUAAGUAUGUGUCCUAGAGAAAUGCAUGCAUAUAUGCACCAGAAGAUAGGAAUAACGAAAGUUUUAGACACAUUAUUCAAAACAAUCACAAAGUAAAAAUAAUCCUAAUAUCAUCAAUAGGGCAAUGGAUAAAUCAUGAAUUAGGAAAAAUGAUUGAACUGAAGUUAUAAACAAUGCCAUCAAUGAAUUUUAAUCAACAUAAGGCUGAACUGAAGAAACCAGACAUAAGUGAAGAAAGACUAUAAGAUUUUGAUUAUGAAAGGUCUUAACCACUUUGUAUGAGGGGGGAUAUUUAAACAGUAAAGCAAUAAUAUGAUUAGUAUAAAAGUUGAGAUAGUAGUCAUCUUUAAGGAGGAGGAAGGAGGUUGAAUUAGCAAGUGACACUUAGUGUCUGGGGAGCUGGUAAUACUCUAUUUUUUUGACCUGGGUGGCACUUACCUGUACUUUUAUACUUUGUACACUUAUUUACACGUGGUGUUUUCACAACACAAAUAAAUCUUUACAAUGCAAUACUUUUAGCUCUUUGUACCUAUUUCUGCCAGUUCUCCCAAGGAAGAAAUUCACAGUAUCAUAAGCAGCUAUAUUUGGCUUUUAAAAUCCAAUCGAACAUUUCCAAUUUUUAACCCCAUCUCCUUAAUCCCAUAAAUAUUCCAUCUCUUUGACCCAGUGUCCUUAGAUUAAAGUUAGGCAUCUUGAAGCAGAAUGUUUUAAAUGAUUACUUUUGCCUAGUGCCCUUUCAAAAGAAUCAGACCAGCUAGGAGAAAAAGUCCCCCUUUGUUGGUAGUUGGGCGUGGUUAAGAUUUGAGCUCAUAAUUCUUCCCCUUGAUUGUGUCGAUCAUAUUCUUUGGCAUGCCUCCCAUAGGUUUUUUUUCCAAAUUUGCUCCGCAUCCCUUGUGUGAAAGUAAGCCAUCUUCCAACAGACUGUGUGGGAUUUCUGAGGACCCUCAUUCUGACUGUUAGGUCCUACACUCUCUCUUUCCUCUUGUGCAGGCCAUCAAGAUAAGGCAUUGGGAGAGAACUGGGCUUCCUUAGAGUCACUCUCUGGGUCCUCUACCAAUAGGUAGUUCACACUCAACCUUAAGAAAGUUUGGGAAUUUCUAAGACAGCAAUUUGGCUAGGGUAUUAUCUAAUCUGUUUGGUGAAUUGCGAAAGGACCUGAGAUUAGACCUGAGUCUGAGGCAACUGGGAGUUCAAGAUAAGGGGAGGGGAUGAGUCUCAGGGUGGAAAUCCCCAGGAUGGAAAAACGCAGCUAACAACUUUCUUUCAUUUUAUUCCUUUAGACAGUCCUUCCCUCAGGCUCACCGUCAAACUCUCAGGGAAGAAGUAUUAGGGAAAAGGAUUUAUCCCCAACCCUGGUGUGGACCUUCAGUUAAGUCCUAUAUCAAUGGUCCGGGGUAAGGAAAGAUAAGAACUGAUGCAGUCUUUUUAUAUUUCUCAUUUCCAAGUGGCCACCAGUUGCCCUCCUUUUCUGGUUGCCAUGUAGAAUAGCCUUCAGGUUCUCCAAAAUUUUCUUGUUGCUGCUAUUCUUGUUGUUUCCUGCAUUACAUGUUUUAGUCUGUAUUUUUUUUUUCAAGGGUUUCUGUGUGCGUGUGUGUAUGUGUGUGUGUGGUGGCAGGUAGAGAAAUUCAAUUUAGUGAGAUGGAGAGCCUGAGUCCGACUGUGCUUGGGUAUAUGUGGGCUUGACAAGCAGAUGCUAACAUAGGCCCAGAUCCUAGAAAACUAUAGAAUUCAUUACAUCUUAAGUGUGUUGUGGAUCUAGUCAGAAUCUGGAGGCAAGGCUACCAGGGAGCAUAAAGGCAAGAAAUCAGGUCUGGAAAAUACAGAAGGAAGAAAGGGCAAGAAGGCCAAAAUCAUGUGGACAGAAUAAUCCACACAGGUUGCGGGUGGGAUAUUAUUAGCCUCUCAUGCACGUUAAAGACAUGGAAUAUGUACUCAGCAUAGUGUAACUAUGCAUUGAAUUCAGUGAUGCAACUUUUAAAGAGAGUUAUUGAAUAUUUUCCACUUCUAUCAUCAUUAAUUACCUAUUUUGUAUCCUAUACUCCUCAAGGAUAAUGGGAACCUGACAUGCAGUGUGGGGGAGCUAGUGGUAGAGAAUGACAUAUAAAACAUAAUAUGUAUAAUAAUAUAGACUCAGGUACUUCAAUUUCAAGCUGAUUGGACUAAGUGCACAGAUGAAGGAAUUUGAUCUCAUGCAAGGACAGGAAAUCUUCUUCCACUGUAAUAUGACAAAGGGUAAAGUGUUGGUGUUGAAAAGCAGGGGGAGUUGAUUUUUCUCAGGUAAGAAGCUGAAAGUAUCACCUAGUAUGGAUGAGAAGUUGGCAAAAAUGUGAAGAUCUGGGGAGAGGGUUAAAGGUUUAAAACAGCAGAGCACAGAAUCAGAGAGAGGAGUAUGGAAACACAGACAUAUUGUCAAGACAAGUAAGACCAGUUGAAAAUCAUGAAUCUACAGUAAACCAAUAUGGGUAAUUUUGUGGUAUUUUUAGCCAUUUGUAACCAUCCAGGUUGGAUACAUCCAUGAUUGAAGUUGUUUAAUGGGACCGAAGGAAAGAAAAUACAAGAAGAUUUGGGGACACUGGGCAAGAGAACUAGUUGGCUGUUGCAAAAUGAAGUGUUGAUGUGAUAUUGAACCUCUUGUUAAAUACAUAUUCACAGUCAAGAUGAUAUGUUCAAGAUUGAAGGACAACAACCUAUUCAACAGUAACUAAAACAACCUUCUAUUAGUUGAAUGGUAUUAAUUUCUCUUUAAAACAGCUUUGUUUAGAAAUUAAAAGAAAAUUAUAUGCAAGCUAAACACCUUGAAGUCUUCCAACACUUUUUUUUUGUUUCAGUCUAUAAAAAUAUUUAAAAGAGCUACAAAAUUGGGUAAUUUGAGAAGCAGUUACCAGACAAAAUUUGACCUUUUUAGCAAUGAAUGUGCUAGAAAAUGAAAAAAGGUUUAGAUGGGAUGAUGACUUAAGUGCCACCUCAUUAAGGUACAGAGAUAUACUUGCCAAGAUAUUUGAAGAAGAGCUUAAAUAAAAAGGGUGUGAACAUAAUCUGUGGCUGAUUUUCUCACCUCAGAAAAUAUACUUUAUGACUAAGGCAAACACAAAGAGUGAAAAUAAUAAGUCUGGUUUCUAAGUUUUUAGCUUUUGUCUGUAACAAGUAGGUAGAAAACAUGUUCCCUUCAAGUUAAAAUUCAUCACAAUGGAACUCAAUAACCACUUAAUAUGAUUACAGACUGAAUCCAGCAAAACAUCAGUGCUGAUGACAAUGGAGAACAGAGAUGUGCCAUUAUUAGUAGAUACCUGAAAGAACCUCUCAAAUUGAUAAUGAACACCUUGGCAACACUAGGAUGGAAGUACUACUCAGUACUUUGAGGUCACUCUGGUUGUGAAAGUUGAUGAACAUGGAGAUAACUUAGAGUGCCAUCAGUGACUAGAUUCUGGCCAGAAAGGAGCAGAAAAGAAGGGAUGCCUCCUUAAAGAAAUACUUCCAAAUGGCUAUCUCGAACUGUGGUUACAAACUGGGAGCUGAUGACAUCUCUGGUGUCUAGGAACAGAAGGGAGAAUCCAUCUGUUGGCAGGAAGAGAAAAAAGAAGGUACACAAGGUGUCCUAUUUGUUACUGGGAGAGUGGUGUUAAAGUUUCCAAUGGAGGCCAUCAUGACCUCUUAAAUCUGUAAGAGUUGACCCUUAUGGAUUUAAAUGAAGAAUUUGGGAGCAGAACCUCAGCUAACCCAUGAUGAAUACAUACUGUGGUCAAGAAAUAACUACUAUUGUUGUAAG
Sus scrofa (pig) is the source of this 6745-nucleotide non-coding RNA. The record is from RefSeq and is a predicted model, not a curated record. NCBI's taxonomy places the organism in Eukaryota, Metazoa, Chordata, Mammalia, Artiodactyla, Suidae.